AUUGAACGCUGGCGGCAUGCCUUACACAUGCAAGUCGAACGGCAGCACGGGUGCUUGCACCUGGUGGCGAGUGGCGAACGGGUGAGUAAUACAUCGGAACGUACCUUAUCGUGGGGGAUAACGCAGCGAAAGCUGUGCUAAUACCGCAUACGCCCUGAGGGGGAAAGCGGGGGAUCGCAAGACCUCGCGCGAUUAGAGCGGCCGAUGCCUGAUUAGCUAGUUGGUGGGGUAAAGGCCCACCAAGGCGACGAUCAGUAGCUGGUCUGAGAGGACGAUCAGCCACACUGGGACUGAGACACGGCCCAGACUCCUACGGGAGGCAGCAGUGGGGAAUUUUGGACAAUGGGGGCAACCCUGAUCCAGCAAUGCCGCGUGAGUGAAGAAGGCCUUCGGGUUGUAAAGCUCUUUUGUCAGGGAAGAAACACCGGCUCUAACACAGUCCGGGAAUGACGGUACCUGAAGAAUAAGCACCGGCUAACUACGUGCCAGCCGCCGUCGUAA
This 501-nucleotide ribosomal RNA is filed under the name uncultured bacterium. RNAcentral describes it as "partial 16S ribosomal RNA". It matches the Rfam family "Bacterial small subunit ribosomal RNA", at positions 29 to 523 of the family's 1533-position model. The record is from RNAcentral.